Molecule: transfer RNA, 73 nt
Filed under: Hippoglossus stenolepis (Pacific halibut)
Lineage: Eukaryota; Metazoa; Chordata; Actinopteri; Pleuronectiformes; Pleuronectidae
Description: tRNA-Lys
Rfam family: tRNA
About the family: Transfer RNA (tRNA) molecules are approximately 80 nucleotides in length. Their secondary structure includes four short double-helical elements and three loops (D, anti-codon, and T loops).
Source: RNAcentral
GCCUGGAUAACUCAGACGGUAGAGCAUCAGACAUUUAAUCUGAGGGUCCAGGGUUCAAGUCCCUGUUCAGGCG